GCUCCAAUAGCGUAUAUUAAAGUUGUUGCAGUUAAAAAGCUCGUAGUUGAAUUUCUGGCCGGCGCUGUUCACGGCUCUCGCAGUCGGUUCAGGAGCCUGGUCAUCCGUAUGGGAAGCUAGCACGUCCUCAGUGGUCGGCUAGUGGAUCAUACACUUUACUUUGAAAAAAUUAGAGUGUUUCAGGCAGGCAAUUGCUUGGA
RNAcentral lists this ribosomal RNA (200 nucleotides) under uncultured eukaryote. RNAcentral's name for it is "partial 18S ribosomal RNA". It matches the Rfam family "Eukaryotic small subunit ribosomal RNA", at positions 588 to 799 of the family's 1831-position model. The record is from RNAcentral.